GUAGUUGACUCCGUGGCUACGAGACGACGCUGGCGGCGUGCUUAACACAUGCAAGUCGAACGCUGAAGCCUGGCUUUGUGUUGGGUGGAUGAGUGGCGAACGGGUGAGUAACACGUGAGUAACCUGCCCUCUUCUUCGGGAUAACGGUCUGAAAGGGCUGCUAAUACCGGGUAUUCACUGGUCCUCGCAUGGGGGUUGGUGGAAAGGGUUUUUUCUGGUGGGGGAUGGGCUCGCGGCCUAUCAGCUUGUUGGUGGGGUGAUGGCCUACCAAGGCUUUGACGGGUAGCCGGCCUGAGAGGGUGACCGGUCACAUUGGGACUGAGAUACGGCCCAGACUCCUACGGGAGGCAGCAGUGGGGAAUAUUGCACAAUGGGCGAAAGCCUGAUGCAGCGACGCCGCGUGAGGGAUGGAGGCCUUCGGGUUGUGAACCUCUUUCGCCCGUGGUCAAGCCGCAACUGUGGGUUGUGGUGAGGGUAGUGGGUAAAGAAGCGCCGGCUAACUACGUG
RNAcentral lists this ribosomal RNA (507 nucleotides) under uncultured Actinomyces sp. RNAcentral describes it as "bacterial SSU rRNA". It matches the Rfam family "Bacterial small subunit ribosomal RNA", at positions 9 to 507 of the family's 1533-position model. The record is from RNAcentral. Lineage: Bacteria; Bacillati; Actinomycetota; Actinomycetes; Actinomycetales; Actinomycetaceae.